AAUAGAAAACGGGGCCCGCCGGCUCGCCGGGUGGAAAGCAUUCGACAGCAAGACGUGUUUUUCAAUCUGCGACUCGGCGAUUCCCAUCAUCACU
Caenorhabditis elegans is the source of this 94-nucleotide microRNA precursor. Lineage: Eukaryota; Metazoa; Nematoda; Chromadorea; Rhabditida; Rhabditidae. The record is from Ensembl.